UAGACGAUGCGUCAUGCAUAUCAAUAAGCGGAGGAAAAGAAACUAACAAGGAUUCCCCUAGUAACGGCGAGUGAAGCGGGAAGAGCUCAAAUUUGAAAUCUUAAAGGGGUUUCCCUUUACGAAUUGUAGUUUAAAGAAGUGUUUUCUGUUAGAGUUUCGGUAAAAGUUCCUUUGGAAUAGGACAUCAUAGAGGGUGAGAAUCCCGUAUUUGACCGUUACUUUCCUAGCUGUGUGAUACACUUUCAAAGAGUCGGAUUGUUUGGGAAUGCAGUCCAAAAUGGGUGGUAAAUUUCAUCUAAAGCUAAAUAUUGGCGAGAGACCGAUAGCGAACAAGUACCGUGAGGGAAAGAUGAAAAGAACUUUGAAAAGAGAGUUAAACAGUACGUGAAAUUGUCAAAAGGGAAGCGUUUGACACCAGUGUUGUUUAAUUGAAAAUCAAUUCAAUAAUUUUUGAUUCUAAGUAGUAUUGACUUCAUCAGCUUGCUGCUUUCUUCUCAGAAAUUAUUGAAUGCACUUUUCAGUUAACAAGUCAACAUCAAUUUCUUUUGUUGUAAAAGGGUAAGAGGAAGGUGGCUUGCGCUUCGGCUCAAGUGUUUAUAGCCUUUUACCUCUGCAAUCGGAGAGAUUGAGGUCUGCAGCGUAGAUCCUUCGGGGUUAGAUACAUUUGUGCUAAGCUAUAGCCUUGUAUAGACAACUUGUUGACUAUGCUCAGUCAUGUAGUUUACUCGCAAAUGCUAUUUUACCUACGCUUAGGAUGUUGACGAUCAGCUGAGCGCG
This 777-nucleotide ribosomal RNA is filed under the name uncultured Neocallimastigales. RNAcentral's name for it is "partial large subunit ribosomal RNA". It matches the Rfam family "Eukaryotic large subunit ribosomal RNA", at positions 22 to 646 of the family's 3401-position model. Lineage: Eukaryota; Fungi; Neocallimastigomycota; Neocallimastigomycetes; Neocallimastigales. The record is from RNAcentral.